UUAGAAAAAAAUGCAUUGCAGGUGUAACAGUUGUGUCACAUGUGUGUCAGUACGUGGCCAAGAGGAGAGAGGCUAUGUUUAUGCUAAGUGAUCUUACCUACCAACAUCUGAAUCGGUAGCCUAAUUCU
Apodemus sylvaticus (European woodmouse) is the source of this 128-nucleotide small nucleolar RNA. RefSeq annotates it as small nucleolar RNA SNORA17. The transcript has a single exon. The record is from RefSeq and is a predicted model, not a curated record. NCBI's taxonomy places the organism in Eukaryota, Metazoa, Chordata, Mammalia, Rodentia, Muridae.